UAGUCUGGUGCCAGCAGCCGCGGUAAUUCCAGCUCCAAUAGCGUAUAUUAAAGUUGUUGCAGUUAAAACGCUCGUAGUCGGAUUUCGGGGCAGGUUUGCCGGUCUGCCGAUGGGUAUGCACUGGUAGAACUGUCCUUCCUUCCGGAGACGGCGCCUACUCUUAACUGAGCGGGUGUCGGAGACGGAUCGUUUACUUUGAAAAAAUCAGAGUGUUUCAAGCAGGCAGCUCGCUUUUGCAUGGAUUAGCAUGGGAUAAUGAAAUAGGACUUUGGUGCUAUUUUGUUGGUUUCGAACACCGAAGUAAUGAUUAACAGGGACAGUCAGGGGCACUCGUAUUCCGCCGAGAGAGGUGAAAUUCUUAGACCAGCGGAAGACGAACCACUGCGAAAGCAUUUGCCAGGGAUGUUUUCACUGAUCAAGAACGAAAGUUAGGGGCUCGAAGACGAUCAGAUACCGUCGUAGUCUUAACCAUAAACCAUGCCGACUAGGGAUUGGAGGAUGUUCCUAUGUGACUCCUUCAGCACCUUUCGGGAAACUAAAGUCUUUGGGUUCCGGGGGGAGUAUGGUCGCAAGGCUGAAACUUAAAGGAAUUGACGGAAGGGCACCACCAGGAGUGGAGCCUGCGGCUUAAUUUGACUCAACACGGGGAAACUUACCAGGUCCAGACAUUGUGAGGAUUGACAGAUUGAGAGCUCUUUCUUGAUUCGAUGGGUGGUGGUGCAUGGCCGUUCUU
RNAcentral lists this ribosomal RNA (733 nucleotides) under uncultured eukaryote. RNAcentral's name for it is "SSU rRNA". It matches the Rfam family "Eukaryotic small subunit ribosomal RNA", at positions 557 to 1295 of the family's 1831-position model. The record is from RNAcentral.